Molecule: unclassified non-coding RNA, 240 nt
Filed under: Hevea brasiliensis (rubber tree)
Lineage: Eukaryota; Viridiplantae; Streptophyta; Magnoliopsida; Malpighiales; Euphorbiaceae
Source: RNAcentral
AAGAUAAUAUUUCCUGAUGUGGAAGCUGUCAAACAGCAUAGUUCAAUGAUGGUUGGAAGUUAUUUUGUUUAUUGUAUAUAUAAGCUAUCUUGUUUCUUUCAAUUGGCGUUUGAGAUUGCUGAUAUCUAAAUUCUUUAGGAAUGAGCUCACAGCAUGAAUAAUUUACUUGUUGCUGCUCUGAGCCAUAUUUGGAUGCAUAUUGCAACUUAUAUUAUAUUCUAGCUCUGUCGGAGGAAAUGA